RNAcentral lists this long non-coding RNA (760 nucleotides) under Mustela putorius furo (domestic ferret). RNAcentral's name for it is "lncRNA (ENSMPUG00000024377.1)". The record is from RNAcentral. Lineage: Eukaryota; Metazoa; Chordata; Mammalia; Carnivora; Mustelidae.
GCAACCAAUGCUGUUUACUUCCUCUUUGGGCGUUCCGCUUAGUCUCACGAGGCAAUCCUAACCUGGCAACUAGCCAGGCGCCAUCUUUUAAUGGCGGAGGCCGCCCUGGCCAGGGGCCUGCCUCUGACACCUUAGUCCUAGGGAGAUGAGUGUAUCCAAGCACCAGUGGAUCUGGGGAGAGCAGAGGGCAGACAAUCACCUUGUUACUAGAGCUAGGACACAAGUUCACAUGUCUUGAUGCUGGACUCCUGAAUUCAGGCUUCCAGAGUUUCUCAUCAGGACAGAAUUGUUCCCACAGAUAAGGGUAUUUUAACCCUAAGGAGACUAAGGGCCCCAGUCAUGUGUGGGGAGAAGCCUAAGGAGACAGAGCACCAACCUUCUAACUAUUCACUAAAUUGAAACUCUUAAUUGACUGUCUACUCCCAGAAAGAAAGACAUGGCAGCUGAAGCAACUGUUCCUGGAAUGAUAGGAUUCAGGUCUGCUUCUGGGUAUUCCCCAAAGUGCCCAGCAGAACGCCUAGAAUAUACCUGCCGUGGGGAAAGUAUCUACUACACAAAUAAAUGAAAGGAUUGUCAAACAGAAGCAUCAGCCUAAACAAGAUGAGAGGUCCCCACAAAAAUCCAUAAAAUACAAGAAAAGAAAUUCUAAUAAUGGAAGAAAAGCUCACCAAAAUCAAUCUCUCUCUCUCUCUCCCUCUUUCUUUCUUUUUGGAAUACCCCCUAAUUUCUAUCACAUCUUUCAAUGAUGUUUAUGCUGAAG